RNAcentral lists this unclassified non-coding RNA (304 nucleotides) under plant metagenome. RNAcentral describes it as "partial contains 5.8S ribosomal RNA, internal transcribed spacer 2, and large subunit ribosomal RNA". The stretch from base 1 to 105 matches the Rfam family "5.8S ribosomal RNA", at positions 50 to 154 of the family's 154-position model. The record is from RNAcentral.
GAAAUGCGAUAAGUAAUGUGAAUUGCAUAAUUCCGUGAAUCAUCGAAUCUUUGAACGCACAUUGCGCCCCCUGGCAUUCCGGGGGGCAUGCCUGUCCGAGCGUCAUUUCUGCCCUCAAGCACGGCUUGUGUGUUGGGUGUGGUCCCCCCGGGGACCUGCCCGAAAGGCAGCGGCGACGUCCGUCUGGUCCUCGAGCGUAUGGGGCUCUGUCACUCGCUCGGGAAGGACCUGCGGGGGUUGGUCACCACCAUAUUUCACCACGGUUGACCUCGGAUCAGGUAGGAGUUACCCGCUGAACUUAAGC